This is a long non-coding RNA of Myotis davidii, 761 nucleotides long. RefSeq lists it as uncharacterized. NCBI's taxonomy places the organism in Eukaryota, Metazoa, Chordata, Mammalia, Chiroptera, Vespertilionidae. The transcript has 5 exons. The record is from RefSeq and is a predicted model, not a curated record.
CUCAGGGCUUUCAGAUCUCGGCUGGGUUAUCACCCGCCUCGCUGGAGCUGGGAACCUAGCCCCAAGCCCUAACAAACCCGGCGAACCGUUUUAUCACUCCAAGGGUCUGUUGUUUUGCUUUUGCUGUUUCAUCACAGGUCACUCUAAGCAGGGACCCCCAAUACACCCAUUGCCCCUGAGGGCACCAUCCGAAGGCUCAUUAUUUUUACGUAGAAAUGUCCUUGAUAGUUUGGACCCGAGGAGAAUUACUCAAACGUUAAUUAGAAGAUUGAGAUUCAUCAGUUAACAUUCAGGGAGUUCACACAUUGGACAAUGGGACAAUUAAACUUGCUAGCAGUAACCCAGAAUCUGCUGUGGAUAAACUAGCUAGAAAGCUCACCCAGGCCACCACCUGAAAAACCACACCCUGGGAAGUCCAGAAAAGAGUCGGCGCAUAAUGGACACACAAUGCACACAUAAGCUAUGUCAAGCCUUCCCGCCAAUCAGUCCUGGGUGCCUUCUCAGAAGCCAGCAGCCUCCCUAACACGUCCUUUCCCGUGGGCUCAGAGCAGUGGAUUUCAAAGAAAGUCACCCUGAAACAUGCUUUUACCUUCACAAGCUCGGACAAAUGGAUCCCCAUCCCGCUCUUUCUCCUGGCUGCAGAAUGGUGGUCAGAGGCAGGCUGCUUCAUGCAUGUGCGUUCACAGUGUGACAUGUGAAUUUAUAAAAUUCCCAAAGGUGCAAUGUUAGGCACUGAGACAUUAACAUAUGAAACUCCACAU